RNAcentral lists this ribosomal RNA (547 nucleotides) under Plantibacter flavus. RNAcentral's name for it is "bacterial SSU rRNA". It matches the Rfam family "Bacterial small subunit ribosomal RNA", at positions 56 to 617 of the family's 1533-position model. Lineage: Bacteria; Bacillati; Actinomycetota; Actinomycetes; Micrococcales; Microbacteriaceae. The record is from RNAcentral.
UGCAGUCGAACGAUGAAGCCCAGCUUGCUGGGUGGAUUAGUGGCGAACGGGUGAGUAACACGUGAGUAACCUGCCCUUGACUCUGGGAUAAGCGUUGGAAACGACGUCUAAUACCGGAUACGAGCUUCCACCGCAUGGUGAGUUGCUGGAAAGAAUUUUGGUCAAGGAUGGACUCGCGGCCUAUCAGCUUGUUGGUGAGGUAAUGGCUCACCAAGGCGACGACGGGUAGCCGGCCUGAGAGGGUGACCGGCCACACUGGGACUGAGACACGGCCCAGACUCCUACGGGAGGCAGCAGUGGGGAAUAUUGCACAAUGGGCGAAAGCCUGAUGCAGCAACGCCGCGUGAGGGACGACGGCCUUCGGGUUGUAAACCUCUUUUAGCAGGGAAGAAGCGAAAGUGACGGUACCUGCAGAAAAAGCACCGGCUAACUACGUGCCAGCAGCCGCGGUAAUACGUAGGGUGCAAGCGUUGUCCGGAAUUAUUGGGCGUAAAGAGCUCGUAGGCGGUUUGUCGCGUCUGCUGUGAAAUCCCGAGGCUCAACCUCG